RNAcentral lists this long non-coding RNA (1741 nucleotides) under Triticum aestivum (bread wheat). Its description in RNAcentral is "long non-coding RNA (TAES_LNC015002)". Lineage: Eukaryota; Viridiplantae; Streptophyta; Magnoliopsida; Poales; Poaceae. The record is from RNAcentral.
GAGUUUGACCACCAAUAAACGACAUUAGUAGUGCAUGAAGCGUUGUGCAGCUCAUCAAGAAUGGUUAUAACAAACGCCAACAAUUUUAAAUUAGAUCAUCUGGGUUAAGAACCAAAAGUAUGUAUUAGCACCAUGCUUCUCUUCCCAAACGCUCGGCAAACCUUCCAAUGAUUAACACAGUGUUGAUGCCAUCUGAUUAAGUCUGAUUCACUCUUAACUCUCCAAUGCCAGAACCGACUGGAUUGGAGCCACCUCAGAUUCGGUGCUACACAUAACCCGCAUUACAUCUAUGCUUCGGUAAAUACACUUGCUAAUCACGUCAAUACGAAAGCACAGCGAGGUUCCUAAGCACUUAAGAACUUCGAAUACCUUGCCCAGUGAGACCUUGCAUAUCCAGCAAUGACAUCACCGGGAUUGAACCAUUUGGCAAUGACAAAUUGCUGGACUAAAGCACGCUCAUCCUCACCCCAUCAUUCCCAUCCACACUCAGCAUCAAGUUCUGACUACCAACGUUGACAUGUAUGCACCAUACUCGACCCUCCUAUCGGCUCACUCCAUGGCCCCGAACUCACCCAUAGCCUAAAUAACUUCUGAUGUGGCAUCGCGCCCAACCUCAAUCUUCGGUGACCUUCCUCGGUUGGUUUGCCAUCAGCUCCUCUUUCUUAUCCUCAUCAACAAAUCAUGUAAUCUAUACAAAUAUAACUUCAGGUCAAAGGCUCCAUCAGCUCAUUACAGCUAUCUAAAGUCACCUCACUGUUCCCUGCAAACCAUUAUGUUUAAAUAUUAGAAAACAAAUACAAAUGAUUUGAAUUAUAAAAAGCAAGGCAUCAAACCUCUUUAGAGAAAGGCUAUUAUUUAUUUCUCAAGUUAGGUACUAAAACUACACAGUAGCGUAUAACUACUACUUAUUCUGAAUACAAAUAUUGUAGUAAACAACGAAUUAAAUUAUUGUUACCAUUUUCUACAUUUAUCUUCUAGAGCACAAAUUUAUGUAUUCAAGACACAUACAUUUGCAAGUGUUUUUUACUACUAGCACCAACGUUGAGCUAAAAUAGACCUAGCAUAAAAUCUGAGAUUGGCAUAUAGCACAAGAACUAAAAUAGUCCACUCUGUACCUUGAAUAUGUACUCUACAGUACAUCUACAUCACUCCAUUGCCCACAGUCGACAAACGACACACCUUUUUCUUACAUCACUGCACGGUGGCACUGAUUCAAAGAAUUGGUAUGCAUGGACCACAACGCCAGCAAAACCCGGCAACCAUGACCUGUAAAACCCUUGAUGCUCUUUCAGUUUUAUCAUGGGCCUUGAAAUAUAUUGCACAAUCAUGGUAGAACGUCGACAUUUGAAGGUGAAGCUGGAUAUUAUGACUUCAAAGAGCCUUGAUGCUGUUUCAGUUUUAUGAUGGAUCUUGUAAUAUAUUCCACGUAUACAAAAAUAUAUAUAUUUAUGUAUGUCAAAAAAAUUACUCAUGUUACAGAUUGUAAAAAAAUUCUUGACACACAAAAAGAAAAACCAAUUGAACACGGAAUUAAUUUUAUAAAAAACUAAUAUCCAACACAGUAUAUAAUUACAUAAAUUAACAUUAUUGUUUCAGUUACAACUCAUUUCUUAGCACGUAAAUAUGAUGUGAGAUCAAGCAGUAAGAACAUCUAACGAGUUUUCUUAGUACAAAAUUUAAUUAUUGUUAGAGAGAGAAAACAUACCCUGCGUAAGUCUCUUUUUCUCUAUUAUCCGGCCGA